AGUAGUUUCGAUCCUGGCUCAAGGACGAAGCUGGCGGCGUGCUUAACACAUGCAAGUCGAACGGAGUACCUCGAAAGAGAUUUCGGUCAAUGGAGAGGACUACUUAGUGGCGGACGGGUGAGUAACGCGUGAGGAACCUGCCUUUCAGAGGGGGACAACAGUUGGAAACGACUGCUAAUACCGCAUAACGUACGGGUAUCGCAUGGUACUGGUACCAAAGAUUUAUCGCUGAGAGAUGGCCUCGCGUCUGAUUAGCUAGUUGGUAGGGUAAACGGCCUACCAAGGCGACGAUCAGUAGCCGGACUGAGAGGUUGGCCGGCCACAUUGGGACUGAGAUACGGCCCAGACUCCUACGGGAGGCAGCAGUGGGGAAUAUUGGGCAAUGGGCGCAAGCCUGACCCAGCAACGCCGCGUGAAGGAAGAAGGCUUUCGGGUUGUAAACUUCUUUUGACAGGGAAGAGCAGAAGACGGUACCUGUCGAAUAAGCCACGGCUAACCACGUG
This 503-nucleotide ribosomal RNA is filed under the name uncultured Oscillibacter sp. RNAcentral describes it as "bacterial SSU rRNA". It matches the Rfam family "Bacterial small subunit ribosomal RNA", at positions 1 to 507 of the family's 1533-position model. Lineage: Bacteria; Bacillati; Bacillota; Clostridia; Eubacteriales; Oscillospiraceae. The record is from RNAcentral.